Molecule: long non-coding RNA, 623 nt
Organism: Glossina fuscipes
Lineage: Eukaryota; Metazoa; Arthropoda; Insecta; Diptera; Glossinidae
Exons: 3
Source: RefSeq, a predicted model, not a curated record
GUGAAUACCAGGGGAGUAAUCAUGUAAGCAAAAGACAACGAAGGCCACAGUCACAAAUAAAAUGUAAUCAUGUUUUCAAUUUGUUGGUGAUUGUCGCCAAACUUAACAAAUACGGUCAUAGUGAAUACCACAUAGAUUCUUGGCUGAUGACAUCUUACUGAAUUUCGGCGAGUCCCCUAAAAAAAGAAUACAACGAAAUCCGUUGCAAGACGAGAAACAUUAUUAUAAAUAAUAUUAGAAUAUCUAGCAUUCCUAAAAUCGAACUAUAUGUAGGCAUUUAUGUAGGUUGCUGGCGAAUUCUACUGAAAGAGCGCAAGAGCUGCUACAGCCUAAAGAAGCUGGGAAGUGCCGCAAAUGUUUGUAGGGCGCUGCACAAUAAUUGUGUCCACUAGAAAAUCGAAGCAGAUCAUUUGAUACUCCAGCACCGCCGACCUAUGAAGAUGAUGCCGUUGAUAUUUGUGUGGAGGCUCUUUAAUCUCUUUUAGUUGAAAAAAAACUUUUUAUAUAUUGGCAAUUGAAGGUGGAUUUCUGCGUAAAAUAGAUCAGGGCUAUAAAUGAAAGUAUAUCCAGAUUUUAUCACAAAAUCAUCUGAGCAGUUUCAGGAUAAUAAAAACAAAAUGAAA